AACGCGAAGAACCUUACCUACUCUUGACAUCCUCGGAAUCCCCUAGAGAUAGGGGAGUGCCUUCGGGAGCCGGGAGACAGGUGCUGCAUGGCUGUCGUCAGCUCGUGUCGUGAGAUGUUGGGUUAAGUCCCGUAACGAGCGCAACCCUCGCCCUUAGUUGCCAGCGGAUAAUGCCGGGAACUCUAAGGGGACUGCCGGUGAUAAACCGGAGGAAGGCGGGGAUGACGUCAAGUCAUCAUGGCCCUUACGAGUAGGGCUACACACGUGCUACAAUGGGGAGUACAGAGAGUCGCCAAGCCGCGAGGUGGAGCUAAUCUCACAAAACUACCCGUAGUUCGGAUUGGAGUCUGCAACUCGACUCCAUGAAGCUGGAAUCGCUAGUAAUCGCGAAUCAGAAUGUCGCGGUGAAUACGUUCCCGGGCCUUGUACACACCGCUCGCGA
This 442-nucleotide ribosomal RNA is filed under the name uncultured bacterium. Its description in RNAcentral is "bacterial SSU rRNA". It matches the Rfam family "Bacterial small subunit ribosomal RNA", at positions 958 to 1399 of the family's 1533-position model. The record is from RNAcentral.